AUCGAGACUUGGUUGUGGUGGUGUGCCCUGGCUGGUGUGCUGGGCACGUCGCGGGGCAGGGUGACGUGGUGUGCGGGCCGGGCUGGGCAGGGCGAGGUGAUGGCGGUGGGGCCAGGGCCAUGGCAGGGCUGUGCUGUCCGCCCUCAGCUGCACCAGUCCCAGCACACCGCUGCGUGCCCCGAGGCCCCCGGUGCUGGGGCAGGGCCGUGGUGGAGGGGUGGGCCGCCUCGCCCUCGGCGGCUGAAAAUAGUGCAGCAUUGUGGGGGUUGAGCACUUGAUGGGCCCUGCCGCUGCUUGCCAUGGCGCGGCGGCCUCUCCGCGGAGGCUCAAGAUGCUGUUUUUUCUCCAAUACCCAGCAGCUCCCCGUGCCCAGGGCAGAGGCCGUGCUGCACGCCGCUGAGCUGCUGCAAUGCCUCGCCACGGGAGGUGCUGGUGCUCGAGGCACGGCAUAGAUCAGGAUGCUCUGGGAUUUCAGUCUCGGCUGAGCCAAAGUUGCUAACUAGAGUUUUUCAUGCGUGGCCGAAGGCUGCUGCUUGCCUUGCAAAUAUUUAUUGAAUAUGUCACGUGGCCUGCGAUUGCUGCGUGCAGGGGGCCGUGUGUCGAGGGCCUGGGUGUGCUGGGCGGCGGGGGCGCGUAUGAAUGGGACCUGGAGGGGCGGAGGAGGCGGAGUGUUCACAGGUGCAGGAGGGGUGCGGAUGAGGGGCACGGCUCCUCGCCCACCCCGCCACCUCGCCUCCUCGCCGCCAUACCAACAGCCUCAGCCUCCCCCAUACAUGCCCUCUGGUCCUCCCCGGCACGGAGAGGCUGUGUGUCGUGCGGGACAUGUGCUGGGGCCGGCGGGGAGGCGUGGGGCGGGCGGGUUCCUCCAGGCGGGGUUGGCCUGCUAACUGUGUGAGUUCAGUAUUUCCUUUGUAAGUGGCGGCGGCGGGCUCCUCUGUCGUGCCCCGCCGUGGAGUUUUUUCUCACGUGUUCGCUGGAGGGGGACGGGGGACGGCCUUCCCUGGCAAAAAGAUGUAUGUUGUGUUUGCGGCUUUUGACCAGAUGUUCCUUAACCUGUAUAGCAUGAGGCGGUAAGUGUGUUUGUCUGUUUGUAUGUAUAUGUGUGUAUGUAUGUAUGUAUGUUCAAGGUAUACCAUCAUUCACACCUAUCUACCCCGUUCACGAUAGCCAGGCGAACAGGCUCCUCCCCUCUUUUCCCUGCCAUGCCUCUCAUUGGUUCACACAUGGAUAGGCCCCGCCCCCUUCCGUCUCCUGAGGCUUGUGAUUGGUGGAUGCUCAGGGAAGGAAGGAAAGGGGAGGAGCUAACGCGCUAACCUAACCUGAACGGACACUAUUGAUGGUUUAUGUGAAUUUGGUGAUGAUGGUGAUGAUAGUGGUGGUGAGGGUGGUGAUAGAGAUGAUAGUAGUGGUGGUGGUGAUCGUGGUGAUGAUGGUGGUGAUAGAGAUGAUGAUAGUGGUGAUGGUGAUGAUGGGAAGGCUACACCCCCUCCCCCCCCAUGUGACUCACCAGACCGCCAUAUACUGAUUUAGAUAAAGAUGGGAUGAAGGGAGGAGGUUGUAAGCGGCUUGAGGUAGUGGAGUAGCCGUAUUUGUGGCCGCGUGGGUUGAGGUGGGUGAGGGGCGCAGUGGGGGUGUAGCUGUGGAUGGGAGUGGGCGUGGGAAGGGGUGUGUAGGAGGAGGUAGAGAGGAAAUUGGGUUAACUGCAAGGCGAUAAAAUAAGAACGAAUGGAUGAAAGGGAAGACUGAAGAUAAGUUGAAAAUGGGGAAAAAAUAAAAGGAAAAAAGAAAGAAAAUUAAAGAAAGAGGAAAAGAAAAGGAAGACUAAAGAUAAGUUGAAAAUGGGGAAAAAAUAAAAGGAGAAAAAGAAAGAAAGGGAAAGAAAGAGGAAAAGAAAAGGAAGACUAAAGAUCAGUCGAAAAUGGGGGGGAAAAGAAAAGGAAAGAAAAGAAGGAAAAGAAGGAAAGAAAGAGGAAAAGAAAUGGAAAAAAAGAAGAAAAUGGAGACUAAAAUAAGUUGAAAAUGGGGGAAAAAAAGAAGAAAA
RNA transcript from Eriocheir sinensis (Chinese mitten crab), 2041 nucleotides. RefSeq lists it as uncharacterized. The transcript has 2 exons. The record is from RefSeq and is a predicted model, not a curated record. Lineage: Eukaryota; Metazoa; Arthropoda; Malacostraca; Decapoda; Varunidae.